CUAUGCACUUAUUUGUUGUUGUCUCAUUGUGUCAUUUAAGAGUGUAAAUCUAAAUGUCAUUAUUUGACUGAUAUUUGUUGUGUUUCUGGAAGUUAUUUUGUCAUUAAUGAUUCCAGGUACAUAGGUUCCACAAGGUAGGAGUGUACCCCCUGCUACACUUUGUCGUCGACUGCACUGUGUCCUCACAGUGGUAUGACGAGUCAGACCUCAAUGGCAACAAUCCAAAGGUUGUAUGAGGCAAUUGUGAAAGGUAUUUGGACAGAAAUAUGUAUGUUUGUCUACCUUAAUAAGUCUCUAUCCCUCAACCACCACAUCCGUCAGACUGUAAAAAACGAAUUAUUCCACUUAGACAAAUUCGCCAAAGUCAGCCCCUCCCUCUCCUGUACUGCGGGCCGAACCUCUCAUCCAUGUUUUCUUCUUCUCCCGAACUCACUACUCCCCAGCACUAACAGACUCCCUCGAUAAGCUCCAAAUGGUUCAAAACUCAGCAGCCCAUCUUCUAACCCACACUAAAUCAUCCUGGCAGCAUAUCACCCCCAUCCUCUGUGAACUCCACUGGCUCCCUGUCUCCCACCGCAUGAAUUACAAGAUCCUCCUGGCCGAAAAAAGCUCUCCCCCACCUUGCUACCCCUUACCUCUCUGACCUUCUCUCCUACCAGACCUCAUGCUCUUUCCGCUCAACCACAGUUGGCCAACUUGUCAUUGGGGCGGCAGCGUAGCCUAGUGGUUAGAGCGUUGGACUAGUAACCGAAAGGUUGCAAGAUCAAAUCCCUGAGCUGAACAAGUGGCAAUCAACACCCAUACCCCCACACUACAACCCUCCAACCCUCCUCAACCAGGUUGAACUCCCAAUAUCCCCCACCACUCAGGAGCCCAGCUACACCCCCAUCCUCAACCAGGUUGAACCCCCAAUAUCCCCCACCACUCAGGAGACCAGCUACACCCACACCAAACCAAAGAAGACGGAGAGAAAGUCCUGUCACCCUCAAAAAACCCUCCAACUCACUGAGCAUGACAGUCAACCCCAUCCAAUCCUAUCCAACCCCAUCCAACCCCAUCCUACCCCAUCCAACCCCAUCCUACCUACCAACCCCAUCCAAUCCUAUCCAACCCCAUCCAACCCCAUCCUACCCCAUCCAACCCCAUCCUACCUACCAACCCCAUCCAACCCCAUCCCAUCCUACCCCAUCCAACCCCAUCAUACCUACCAACCCCAUCCUACCCCACCCCAUCCCAUCCUACCCUAUCCUACCCCAUCCAACCCCAUCCAACCCCAUCCUAAUCCUACCCACACC
This 1295-nucleotide long non-coding RNA is filed under the name Salmo salar (Atlantic salmon). RNAcentral's name for it is "lncRNA (ENSSSAG00000098825.1)". Lineage: Eukaryota; Metazoa; Chordata; Actinopteri; Salmoniformes; Salmonidae. The record is from RNAcentral.